GCGUGAUUGGCGGAACUGGCAGACGCACUAGACUUAGGAUCUAGCGGGGCAACCCAUGGGGGUUCGACUCCCUCAUCACGCACAA
RNAcentral lists this transfer RNA (85 nucleotides) under Ignavibacteriota bacterium. Its description in RNAcentral is "Ignavibacteriae bacterium tRNA-Leu". It matches the Rfam family "tRNA". Rfam says of the family: Transfer RNA (tRNA) molecules are approximately 80 nucleotides in length. Their secondary structure includes four short double-helical elements and three loops (D, anti-codon, and T loops). RNAcentral also lists the same sequence under 2 other names. The record is from RNAcentral. Lineage: Bacteria; Pseudomonadati; Ignavibacteriota.